Molecule: unclassified non-coding RNA, 255 nt
Filed under: uncultured fungus
Lineage: Eukaryota; Fungi
Description: sequence contains ITS1
Source: RNAcentral
UGCCAGCACAGUCCGACACCACACGGGCGCCUCACACACACAAUGCACGAACAGCGGUAUGGGCGCACACACUGAUCGCGCAGCUUUGCACGCACACGCUGUGCGCUGUUGAAUUACGACCCUGAACCAGGCGUGCCAAAGGAUGUUACUCCAAUGGCGCAAUGUGCAUUCGAAUGUUCUGUGUUCAAGGUUUCUGCAGUUCACACUACUUAUCGCAGUUGGCUGCGUUCUUCAUCGAUGCCAUGGAAGCAAGCU